UUAUAGUAUGGCCAUAACCGCUGUGCACUCCCUGAGGUAUGCGCGCGGAGAGACGGAGGGGUGACGGAGGGUGACGCGCUCUAUCUAGAGAUGGCUACUUGGUUAUUGAACAAAAAUGGCUUACGACUAGCGUUACCUGGCGACGCAUUAGCUAGCUAAGCAGGACUUGAAUUGAAUAACGCUCAACUAACUGUCCUUGGCAUCCGAGUUCGAUCCUAACAGCCGCAACAAGUUCGGAUGAUAUGAUAAUAAUAUAUUAAUGCCAUAAUUUAGUUCAUCAUUAUUUUUAUUUUAUAUUAUAAUCUUUUGAAAAUAAAAAAAAUAAGACCAACGA
Molecule: long non-coding RNA, 334 nt
Organism: Helicoverpa zea (corn earworm)
Lineage: Eukaryota; Metazoa; Arthropoda; Insecta; Lepidoptera; Noctuidae
Exons: 2
Source: RefSeq, a predicted model, not a curated record